GACGAACGCUGGCGGCGCGCCUAACACAUGCAAGUCGAACGAGAGAGAAGGAGCUUGCUUCUUCGAUCGAGUGGCGAACGGGUGAGUAACGCGUGAGGAACCUGCCUCAAAGAGGGGGACAACAGUUGGAAACGACUGCUAAUACCGCAUAAGCCCACGGGUCGGCAUCGACCAGAGGGAAAAGGAGUGAUCCGCUUUGAGAUGGCCUCGCGUCCGAUUAGCUAGUUGGUGAGGUAAUGGCCCACCAAGGCGACGAUCGGUAGCCGGACUGAGAGGUUGAACGGCCACAUUGGGACUGAGACACGGCCCAGACUCCUACGGGAGGCAGCAGUGGGGAAUAUUGCACAAUGGGGGAAACCCUGAUGCAGCGACGCCGCGUGGAGGAAGAAGGUCUUCGGAUUGUAAACUCCUGUUGUUGAGGAAGAUAAUGACGGUACUCAACAAGGAAGUGACGGCUAACUACGUGCCAGCCGCCGCGGUAA
RNAcentral lists this ribosomal RNA (482 nucleotides) under uncultured bacterium. Its description in RNAcentral is "partial 16S ribosomal RNA". It matches the Rfam family "Bacterial small subunit ribosomal RNA", at positions 28 to 523 of the family's 1533-position model. The record is from RNAcentral.